AUGUUUAGGCCCUGUUUUGUUUUGCCUCGCCAUUCCAUCCAUUGCGUGCUCCAUCCUCCACUCCCUCCCUGUAUAAAUAGGGACUCGCGGGACAGCAGCCGUGGUGACAGAGUCCGUAGCGCGAGCUGUCUGUCAGUAGCGCAAUCCCUCUCAGGUGGGUCGGAGCCAGGGGGGAGAAAGAAGAUGGACGCGGAGCAGGAGUCGCGGUGGGCGGCGGCGCAGGCGAUCGGCGUCGGCGAGGACCUCGUCCCGGCCGCGCUGCGGCACCUGGAGUUCCUCGCCGCGGUCGACCGCCGCCGGUGGCUCUACGAGGGCCCGCUGCUCCACAGGGCCAUACGCAGGUACAAAGCUUGCUGGCUUCCCCUUCUUGCCAAGCACAAUGAGGCCGCUGUUGCAGAUGAGCCUUUGGUUGUUCCCCUUGAUUGUGAAUGGAUAUGGCACUGUCAUCGGCUUAACCCGACUCGAUACAUAAAGGACUGCAAGAGAUUAUAUGGCAGGAUGCUGGACUCUAAGAAUGUCAGGUCCUCCAUUCAUGCAAAGUCCAAGGAUCAGUCUGAGAAAGUUUGGACUGAGUUAUAUCCUGGGGAGCCUUUUGAGUUGGAGUACACAAGCCCUUCUGACGAUUCUGUUUACGUGGAUGAUGGAACUGCAGGGGGCAUUUCCUAUGAUUUGAUCUCAGCUGUUAAGAGACAGUCUACUUUCGUCUACCAGGUUGGAACACCAAACAUGCAUGAUCGCCGUUUUCUUGAAGACGCUUUAGCUCGGUACAAAGGCUUUUUGUAUCUGAUCAAGAUGAAUCAGGAGAAAGGAAUGAACCUCUUUCGUGUGCCAACCUACGAUGUGGAUCUAAUGUGGCACACCCACCAACUGAAUUCUGUUGCCUACUGCAAUGACAUGCUGUGUCUCCUUGGGAAAGUUCUGGAGCAUGAUGACACAGAUGAUGAUCGAGCCGAAGGGAAGAAGCUCGACACCGGAUUUUCAGGGACCACCGAGCAGUUUGAGAAUAGCUUUGGUGUGAGAUACUGGAAGGCUGGCGCUAUGUACCGUGGAAGCUUGCCAUCUCCUGUGACAUCCAUUCCACAGAUAUUCAGUACUAGUGAGGAUGAUAGUGUUUCCGGUGCCGAUAAAGCAGAGAAGCAUCUUACUAUUCUUGAAACAACAGUUGUGGAGUUACAUUUACAGAUUGUGGACAUCAAGAAUUUACCGUCUUCAAUUCCAGAGAAAAGCGUGUAUGUAUGGUUCACCAAGACUAAACCAGAUGCAUUCAUCCGUGAUGGCGGCAGGUUGGAUAUUUCUACGAAAACAGGGAAGAGCAUCGGAGCUGGUUUCCAAUGUGAACCGACUGGCGAUCUCAUUCUUACAGUAAUGAUUGAUCAGGCCUAUUUUGGGGCAUCAUCAUCAUCGAAGAAACCAGAACCGUUGGGGAAGGUUUCGAUCUCUGUUGAAGAGCUUACGCAGCAUGAUUCCAAGCUUUCCUUUGAGAGGUGGUUUGAACUGAAAACUUGUGGUGCGUAUGCCGGUUCCCCUCCUGUCAGUCUUCGUGUUGCUGCAUCUUGUACCGUCCCAAGGCAGGCUCCACACGUUCUUGGCAUGGUCAAUGUGAAGCCUUGCUCUCUGAAGGCCUGUAUAUUGCCACAUUCCAUCAAGGAUCAAAAUAUGAGCUCCUGGACUCGCUUCGUGUAUGAUUGUGGUACUGAACUCAUUCGUCUUCAGAUAAGGGAGCACAAGGCCAAGAGUGGCAUGGCUCUCACUCGGGAAUUGGUCGGAGUAACAAAGUCAUCAAAGCAGCCACUUCAGCUUGCAGAAUUCACAGAAAACAAAUGGUCUUUUAACAACUCCAACUCAUCCAUCACUCUUGACCUGAAACCAAGCAAGGAUGGCUGCAUAAACGAGCUCAAAUACGACAACAAACUGAUCAAACUAUACAAGGGAAGGAGACUAGCAUAUGAACUCAAAUGCUGCAGUCAGCAUACUGAUGAUACUGCAGCAGUUACUGCUGUGAAGUUCUCAGCUGAACACCCCUAUGGCAAAGCAGUCGCGCUAGUUGACACUGAAUCGGAAUUUAUCUCGGUGGAUGAGGAUUGGUUCCUGCUUCCCUGGAUCGCGAUAUCAUUCUUGUUCCUGAAUUCCAUUGGCAAAGAUGGUGCGAAGCUCAUCGAAGGUGCCAUGGCACAGAAGGCUGAAACCGUUGAGCCUGAUACUACAGUGGUUUCUCAGACGGUGAAAGGUGGAGCAGCAGGUGCCACUGCUGGUUCGGCGCAAUGUGGCGCUUGUGGCACGGCUGGUUGCGGUGACAUGGUCAUGGCAAGUGACAAGGCUGGUCAUGCUAGCUAUGGCAGCUCAGUCACUGCAAGUGACAAGGUGGCUGAUUCUAAGUGCGGUGGUUGUGGAUCAGGUUGUGGUGGUGGAUGCGGUGUCUCUGUGGUCACCAUGAGCUACAAGAAUGGUCAUGCGAGCUGUGGCAUCGUUGCAGGCGGCGAGAAUGGCCAUGUUGAGUCUGCUGGGUGUGGAUCAGGAUGCGGUGGUUCCUGUGGUGGCAACAUGGUUAUUGAAAGCUCCAAAGAGGGGAACACCGAGUCAGGUGGCUGUGGUUCAGGUUGUGGUGGAGGAGGCUGUGGCAGCAUGGCCAUUGAAGGCUCCAAGGCUGGCAUUGCCAAGUCUAGCGGCUGCGGUUCAGGUUGUGGUGGCGGUUGCAGCGGUAUGGUGGUUGAAGGCUCCAAAAAUGGCCAUGCCAAGUCAGGCGGCUGUGGCUCGGGCUGUGGUGGUGGUUGCGGCGGCAUGCUGAUCGAACACUCCAAAACUAGCUGCACCAAGUCUAGCGGCUGUGGCUCAGGCUGCGACGGUGGUUGUGGCAGCAUGGUCAUGGAAGGCUCCAAGAUGAGUCAUGCCAAGUCAGGGGGCUGCGGUUCAGGUUGUGGCGCCGGCUGCGGCGCAUGCUGA
Molecule: ribosomal RNA, 2940 nt
Filed under: Triticum aestivum (bread wheat)
Lineage: Eukaryota; Viridiplantae; Streptophyta; Magnoliopsida; Poales; Poaceae
Description: partial small subunit ribosomal RNA
Source: RNAcentral